This 460-nucleotide ribosomal RNA is filed under the name uncultured bacterium. Its description in RNAcentral is "partial 16S ribosomal RNA". It matches the Rfam family "Bacterial small subunit ribosomal RNA", at positions 338 to 795 of the family's 1533-position model. The record is from RNAcentral.
CCUACGGGGGGCAGCAGUGAGGAAUAUUGGUCAAUGGACGAGAGUCUGAACCAGCCAAGUAGCGUGAAGGAUGACUGCCCUAUGGGUUGUAAACUUCUUUUAUAUGGGAAUAAAAUGUUCCACGUGUGGGAUUUUGUAUGUACCAUAUGAAUAAGGAUCGGCUAACUCCGUGCCAGCAGCCGCGGUAAUACGGAGGAUCCGAGCGUUAUCCGGAUUGAUUGGGUUUAAAGGGAGCGUAGGAGGGUUGUUAAGUCAGUUGUGAAAGUUUGCGGCUCAACCGUAAAAUUGCAGUUGAAACUGGCAGUCUUGAGUACAGUAGAGGUGGGCGGAAUUCGUGGUGUAGCGGUGAAAUGCUUAGAUAUCACGAAGAACUCCGAUUGCGAAGGCAGCUCACUGGACUGCAACUGACACUGAGGCUCGAAAGUGUGGGUAUCAAACAGGAUUAGAUACCCCGGUAGUC